RNAcentral lists this ribosomal RNA (407 nucleotides) under bacterium. RNAcentral describes it as "bacterial SSU rRNA". It matches the Rfam family "Bacterial small subunit ribosomal RNA", at positions 354 to 776 of the family's 1533-position model. The record is from RNAcentral.
GUGGGGAAUAUUGGGCAAUGGACGCAAGUCUGACCCAGCAACGCCGCGUGAAGGAAGAAGGCUUUCGGGUUGUAAACUUCUUUUAAGGGGGAAGAGUAGAAGACGGUACCCCUUGAAUAAGCCACGGCUAACUACGUGCCAGCAGCCGCGGUAAUACGUAGGUGGCAAGCGUUGUCCGGAUUUACUGGGUGUAAAGGGCGUGUAGCCGGGAAGGCAAGUCAGAUGUGAAAUCUGGAGGCUCAACCUCCAAACUGCAUUUGAAACUGCUUUUCUUGAGUGUCGGAGAGGUAAUCGGAAUUCCUUGUGUAGCGGUGAAAUGCGUAGAUAUAAGGAAGAACACCAGUGGCGAAGGCGGAUUACUGGACGAUAACUGACGGUGAGGCGCGAAAGCGUGGGGAGCAAACAGG